AUGCUACUACUAAUUCUAAUAAUACUACUACUAAUAAUAAUUAUAAUAGGUUGUUCAAAUUUCUUUUUAGUUUAUUUGCUGAUUGCUAACUGUGACUGUGGCACCCAGUCAUGGAUGGACGCAUACCCAGAUUGUCGCUUAUCUUUGUUCUAUUGGCAGUAGUAGGAUUUAUACUGCUCAUUAGCAACAUCACAUCUCUGGAGAGUCGCGCAAUGCUUCCCAGUGGGUCAUGCAGGUUUGUGGUUCAAGCAGCGCUGCUCCAGUUUGUUGUAUGUUCUGCUCAUCUCACUAGCAAUAACACACACAAAGCGGAGUUCACACAUGGGCUUGUACUUUACUUGGCAGUCACCAGAGAACCUCCAGCUAUCGGUUGAACAUGUGCAGUACACUUACAGGUGUAACCACUACACAAACUGUGUGGGGGUGUUCUAGGCUGAACCAUUCACUGCAUAUACUACAAAGUUCACUGGAAAAAAUGACUUUUUGGCCCAGUAAAUAUUAUAUUUAUUACAUGAGUAAAGUUUACAUUAAAUUAUAGUGUUUUGAAUUUUACUUCAGUUUAGUGUCUUAAUUUUAAUGUGAUACUUUAUAUUUGUAUGUAAUUUUGUAUCAUUAUAAAUACGUGUAAUGUCUAUAUGAAAACCACAAGUAAGAUUAACUUAAUUACUGCAUGUCAUACACCGUUCUUUAAGACUAAGUUAACUUUACUUCAGUAAUGUGACCAUAUCUAGCAACCCUCACCUUGGGUGACGUCAGGGGAGUGUUUGCACUCGAAACUCGAAAUGAUAUCACUUGGAUGGUGGCUGAGCUUCGUGGGUCGUGCGGAUGACUGGAUGCACUUUUAAAAGAGAUACUGACUUUCACAGAUUGCCUGACUUGCUAUGCCAUCCAUGACUCAAUACUGAAGAUCACUGUGAUUUUGUUCAGCAAAUUGGCAUUAUCUGCUAGUGCAUGCUCCAACCACCUCGUCAAGUUCGCCGAUGACAUGACUGUGGUGGGUCUCAUCAGCAAGAAUGACGAGUCAGCUUACAGAGAGGAGGUGCAGCAGCUAACAGUAUGGUGUAGAGCCAACAACCUGUCUCUGAACAUCAACAAGACUAAAGAGAUGGGUGUUGACUUCAGGAGAGAGUGACCAUUCUCCGCUGUCCAUCGACGGAUCCUCUGUGGAGAUCGUCAAGAGCACCAAAUUCCUUGGUGUUCAUCUGGCAGAGGACUUCUCCUGGUCACUCAACACCAGCUCCAUCACCAAGAAAGCCCAGCAGUGCCUCUACUUCCUGAGAAGGCUGAGGAAAGCCCAUCUCCCUCCCUCCAUCCUGACUGUGUUCUACAGAGGGACCAUCGAGAGCGUCCUGAGCAGCUGCAUCACUGCCUGGUUUGGGAACUGCACCGUCUCGGAUCGCAAGACCCUUCAACGGAUAGUGAAGACAGCUGAAAAGAUCAUCGGAGUACCUCUUCCCUCUAUCAAGGACAUUUACACUACACGCUGCAUCUGCAAACCUAACAGCAUUGUGGAUGAUCCCACACACACUCUUACACACCCCACACACCCCUCACACAUACUCUUCACCCUCCUGCCAUCUGGAAAGAGGUACCGGAGCAUUCGGGCCCUCACAAGCAGACUGUUGAACAGUUUCUUUCCUCAAGCCAUCAGGCUCCUCAACACCUGGGACUGAACUGUACAAAACUCUCUCUCUCUCACACACACACACAAACACACACACACACACUUAGGACUGAACUGUUCAUAACUGUCUGUCUCUCAUACACACAUACACACACCCACACUCACUCUCUCUCUCACCUGUGUGGAUACACUCACACUCACAUAACCUAUAUUCUUCGAUAUUUAUUGCAUUACCUCAACCCCCGUGUAUUUCAUCUGCUGCUAUAUUUAUAUUCAUAUUUAUGUUUAUUUCUAUUUUGCACUACCUCAACUGCUGCUAUUGUAUUUUUGCACAAUACAUGUUGUCAGGUCCCAAAGUUCAUCAUCAUCUCAUUUUAUACAUUUCAUUACAGUUCCUUGCAUGUUCUUUUCUUUUUUUCGGUGCUAAAUUGCCCUUUGUUUUGUGUUGUCUUAUUUUUUUUGUAUUUAUUAUUUCUGCACUGUCUUUCAUUGCUUUGUUUGCACCUAGCUGCACCCUUUACACUUUAUGUGGCUUGGACGAAUCUUUCGGUCCUAGCUUUAUGUUGUUCUUGUGUUUAAGCUAUAUGUUGUAUGUUUAUGUAGCACCAGGUCCUGGAGAAACGUUGUUUCAAUUCACUAUGUACUGCGUCAGAUAUAUGUGGUUGAAAUUACAA
Molecule: long non-coding RNA, 2298 nt
Organism: Hemibagrus wyckioides
Lineage: Eukaryota; Metazoa; Chordata; Actinopteri; Siluriformes; Bagridae
Exons: 5
Source: RefSeq, a predicted model, not a curated record